AUUGGACGCUGGCGGCAGGCCUAACACAUGCAAGUCGAGCGGAUGAAGGGAGCUUGCUCCUGGAUUCAGCGGCGGACGGGUGAGUAAUGCCUAGGAAUCUGCCUGGUAGUGGGGGAUAACGUCCGGAAACGGGCGCUAAUACCGCAUACGUCCUGAGGGAGAAAGUGGGGGAUCUUCGGACCUCACGCUAUCAGAUGAGCCUAGGUCGGAUUAGCUAGUUGGUGGGGUAAAGGCCUACCAAGGCGACGAUCCGUAACUGGUCUGAGAGGAUGAUCAGUCACACUGGAACUGAGACACGGUCCAUACUCCUACGGGAGGCAGCAGUGGGGAAUAUUGGACAAUGGGCGAAAGCCUGAUCCAGCCAUGCCGCGUGUGUGAAGAAGGUCUUCGGAUUGUAAAGCACUUUAAGUUGGGAGGAAGGGCAGUAAGUUAAUACCUUGCUGUUUUGACGUUACCAACAGAAUAAGCACCGGCUAACUUCGUG
This 484-nucleotide ribosomal RNA is filed under the name uncultured bacterium. Its description in RNAcentral is "partial 16S ribosomal RNA". It matches the Rfam family "Bacterial small subunit ribosomal RNA", at positions 30 to 507 of the family's 1533-position model. The record is from RNAcentral.